Molecule: long non-coding RNA, 469 nt
Organism: Oncorhynchus keta (chum salmon)
Lineage: Eukaryota; Metazoa; Chordata; Actinopteri; Salmoniformes; Salmonidae
Exons: 3
Source: RefSeq, a predicted model, not a curated record
UGUGUGUGUGUGUGUGUGUGUGUGUGUGUGUGUGUGUGAGGUACAAAGGCUACAGGAUUACUGAAGUGGAGACGCACACAAACACGAUCUCUGGGUCAGGGGGACACAUCUCUCUUCUAAUUUAAAGCGACAGAGGAGCAAGCCAGCUCUGCGUUUAUCUGCUCUGAUGACAAUCAGCAGAACCUCCCAAACUAUUGUACCCUCAAACUGUACCGCCGUCAGCCAAAACCUAACCUCAGCAUGCAGAGGAGCUGCCUCUCUGACCGCUGGUAGCAUCAUCCCAGGUCAGGAUGAGGGGCACGUCGUCAUCGGUACCCUCCAUUCUCCCGGACUGGCAAGAUGAAAUCCACAGGAAGUGAUGUCACUGAGUACUCCCCAUUUAUAGAACCUUUCACCCCCACCUGGGGUAUGGAUGCCUGAUGAAGACCUAAGGGUUGAAAUCUUAUAAUAAAAUCACCUGGGAGCAUGA